RNAcentral lists this ribosomal RNA (100 nucleotides) under Caerostris darwini. Lineage: Eukaryota; Metazoa; Arthropoda; Arachnida; Araneae; Araneidae. The record is from RNAcentral.
ACGGCCACACCAUGCUGAAUAUACCGGCUCUCGUUCGAUCACCGAAGUCAAGCAUCAUUGGGCGCGGUCAGUACUUGGGUGGGUGACCACCUGGGAACAC